This 1172-nucleotide long non-coding RNA is filed under the name Felis catus (domestic cat). RNAcentral describes it as "lncRNA (ENSFCAG00000048724.1)". The record is from RNAcentral. Lineage: Eukaryota; Metazoa; Chordata; Mammalia; Carnivora; Felidae.
CUUGUUUUUUCUUUGUUUCUGAAUGAUAUUGGCAUUGGGUCUGGAAUUCCGAGUUCAGUUAUUUACUUUCUGUAUAGUAAAACCUUGGAUUGCAGGUAACUUGCUCUGUGAGUGUUCUGCAAGACAAGCAAACAUUUCUAAUAAAUUUUAACUCGAUAAACGAGCAAUGUCUUACAAUAGGAGUAGUAGGUGACACUGUCACGUGAUCACAACUUAGCCAAUGGUCCUUCUCUCUCUCUCUCACUGUGGGAUUGUGGGUGAUUGUCUCUCAUGCUCAGAUGCUUGAUCUCAGGCCAUGGUGUUUGGCAGAAAUCAGUGGUUUUUCAGGAUGUUGAAGGUGCCCACAGCCGGCACCUAGUGUAUUUUUUGUCACUUUAAAGCACCUAUGGACAGGCCUUUGCCUUUCCAUACGAGAGUAAGCUUACAAAAACUUUGCUUCAUUCUAGGUCGUUGGAUAGGUUCUUUAUGAAAGUUGCACGAAAAGAAAAAGAUUCCAUUGAGCUAAUAGAUACCAGUGGUUCCAUUAGCGAUAGUGAAAGUCCUCCUACACGAUAACCCUCCUCUCGCUUGUCUCUCACACCAGCCACGGAGGUUUUCAAAGGUUUAAAUCCUCUCAACUGAGCAGUUCUUCCUUCAAAGAGAAUGCUGCAAGAGUCCACGAUGGACGUGAGGUGAGCGUGCGUCGGCUCCGACCUUCACCGGACUCGGAAUCUGGCCGGUCCUCUGGCCAUGGGCAGCCUCGCCUCUGCACUCAAGACAUUUUCUUCUCGGACACAAACACCUCGAGAGAGUUUCUGGCCCUUAGAGGGAAUCACGUCACACACACGAAGAGAUCAGUAAGAAAUGCUUUCAGCAGGCAGGCUUUUUGAGAACUAUCACUUCCUUAAAAAUGUAGCAUAGGCUGCCAAAAGGGGUUAUUUUUAUCUGAGGAGUCCCAUGGGCUACACCCUCCUUAAAAGGAUAGGAUAAUGAAAAUAUACCUUCCUUCUUCCUCUUUGAGGAUCUCUUUACCAACAGUAAAUGUUCUCAACUAGCCAUGAGGUACCCCUUCUGCCUAGAAAUCACCUCAGCAUGUGUGGGGCGUUAACUAAACGUGGGUGGUGAUUCAUCAUGAGUAAUAGUCGAUGCUGUGGCAUCAUCGGUUGGGAGAAUAAAAAGUCCUCCUUUUAUCA